GAUAAACGCUGGCGGCGUGCUUAACACAUGCAAGUCGAACGAAGUUUUUCCUUCGGGAGAAACUUAGUGGCGGACGGGUGAGUAACGCGUGGGUAACCUGCCCUGUACAGGGGGACAACAGCUGGAAACGGCUGCUAAUACCGCAUAAGCCCUUAGCACUGCAUGGUGCAUAGGGAAAAGGAGCAAUCCGGUACAGGAUGGACCCGCGUCUGAUUAGCCAGUUGGCAGGGUAACGGCCUACCAAAGCGACGAUCAGUAGCCGAUCUGAGAGGAUGUACGGCCACAUUGGGACUGAGACACGGCCCAGACUCCUACGGGAGGCAGCAGUGGGGAAUAUUGCACAAUGGAGGAAACUCUGAUGCAGCGACGCCGCGUGAGUGAAGAAGUAUUUCGGUAUGUAAAGCUCUAUCAGCAGGGAAGAAAAGGACGGUACCUGACUAAGAAGCACCGGCUAAAUACGU
This 461-nucleotide ribosomal RNA is filed under the name uncultured bacterium. RNAcentral's name for it is "partial 16S ribosomal RNA". It matches the Rfam family "Bacterial small subunit ribosomal RNA", at positions 28 to 506 of the family's 1533-position model. The record is from RNAcentral.